Molecule: ribosomal RNA, 510 nt
Filed under: uncultured bacterium
Lineage: Bacteria
Description: bacterial SSU rRNA
Rfam family: Bacterial small subunit ribosomal RNA
Source: RNAcentral
AGAGUUUGAUCUGGCUCAGAACGAACGCUGGCGGCGUGCCUAACACAUGCAAGUCGAACGGGAUUAGGGGCUUGCUCCUAAUCUAGUGGCGCACGGGUGAGUAACGCGUAGAUAAUCUGCCUGAUGAUCUGGGAUAACACUUCGAAAGGGGUGCUAAUACCGGAUAAGCCCACGGGGUCUUUGGACUCUGCGGGAAAAGGGGGGGACCUUCGGGCCUUCUGUCAUCAGAUGAGUCUGCGUACCAUUAGCUAGUUGGUAGGGUAAUGGCCUACCAAGGCUACGAUGGUUAGCUGGUUUGAGAGAAUGAUCAGCCACACUGGAACUGAGACACGGUCCAGACUCCUACGGGAGGCAGCAGUGGGGAAUUUUGCGCAAUGGGCGAAAGCCUGACGCAGCAACGCCGCGUGAGUGAUGAAGGCUUUCGGGUCGUAAAGCUCUGUCGAGGGGAAAGAAGUGUAUCGUGGCUAAUAUCCACGAUACUUGACGGUACCCCUAAAGGAAGCACCGGCU